AUAAGGGAACCAUGGAAAUAACCCUGUUACUAACACAAACUACAGCAGGAGCCCUGCUGCCUCAGGCAAUGUGAAACUACAACCUGGUGUGACAAGUGAUAAGAAGGUUCAGGGGAACAUGCUGACAGCAGACUGGAUGCUGGGAGGUAGAAGCUGAAGGAACUGAUUUCCGCAUUGACUUAUGAGACUGUGCUCAGCGAUAUUUUUCAAGGACCCCUGGUGAUACUUU
RNAcentral lists this long non-coding RNA (229 nucleotides) under Ictidomys tridecemlineatus (thirteen-lined ground squirrel). Its description in RNAcentral is "lncRNA (ENSSTOG00000032904.1)". The record is from RNAcentral. Lineage: Eukaryota; Metazoa; Chordata; Mammalia; Rodentia; Sciuridae.